This 233-nucleotide long non-coding RNA is filed under the name Setaria viridis. RNAcentral describes it as "long non-coding RNA (SVIR_LNC000723)". Lineage: Eukaryota; Viridiplantae; Streptophyta; Magnoliopsida; Poales; Poaceae. The record is from RNAcentral.
GUUGAUGCUAUCCCAUCUCGGAAAUGAUCCUAAUGUAUGGCUAUGGAACACACUGUGGAGGUUUUCAAGGAGUUCUGGGAACAGAACCCUUGACGGACAACCGGACUUACACUGUUUUAAGUGCGUUUUGGAUAAUUGCUGUUGUGACAGCAAUUAGACGCACUUAAGCCAGUUUAAGUUGGGCGGUUCCGCCACAGCUGGUAUCAGAGCCAUAGGUUGGGAUAAUCAACAGA